UACGGAGGAUGCGAGCGUUAUCCGGAUUUAUUGGGUUUAAAGGGUGCGUAGGCGGACUGUCAAGUCAGCGGUAAAAUUGAGAGGCUCAACCUCUUCCCGCCGUUGAAACUGGUGGUCUUGAGUGGAUGAGAAGUACGCGGAAUGCGUGGUGUAGCGGUGAAAUGCAUAGAUAUCACGCAGAACUCCGAUUGCGAAGGCAGCGUACCGGCAUCCAACUGACGCUGAGGCACGAAAGCGUGGGGAGCAAAUAGG
This 252-nucleotide ribosomal RNA is filed under the name uncultured bacterium. RNAcentral describes it as "partial 16S ribosomal RNA". It matches the Rfam family "Bacterial small subunit ribosomal RNA", at positions 524 to 776 of the family's 1533-position model. The record is from RNAcentral.